GUGGUGUAAAGGAUGUUCCGCCUAUUAAUUUACUUUAUUUAUGUUGGUGUAUAUCUGGUUUAAUAUUAUUGUUUAAUAAUUUAAUUUGUGUAUUGUUAAAUUAAGCCAAGUCUAUGUGCUGCUUAUUAAAGUAUUCAUGCGUUACAUUUAUAAGGUUACAUUUGUAAAAAUGUAAUAUUUAGGACUUAAAAGUAAUAUUAAAUUAAUUUGUUAGUGUGAAAAAAGUUUAGCUCAUGUACACACCGC
This 246-nucleotide ribosomal RNA is filed under the name Taenia polyacantha. RNAcentral describes it as "partial 12S ribosomal RNA". The record is from RNAcentral. Lineage: Eukaryota; Metazoa; Platyhelminthes; Cestoda; Cyclophyllidea; Taeniidae.